GAGAGCAUGCCUCUAGCAAAGGACCCUCUUCAUCCCUCUCCAGAAGAGGAGAAGAGGAAACUCAAGAAGAAGCGCCCGGUGUAGAGCCCCAACUCCUACUUCAUGGAUGUGAAAUGCCCAGGAUGCUAUAAAAUCACCAUGGUCUUCAGCCAUGCACAAACAGUAGUUUUGUGUGUCGGCUGCUCCACUGUCCUCUGUCAGCCUACAGGCGGAAAAGCAAGGCUCACAGAAGGAUGUUCCUUCAGGAGGAAGCAGCACUAAAAGCACCCCAAUCAAGAUGAAUGGGAAACCAUUCCAAUAAACACAUUU
Carlito syrichta (Philippine tarsier) is the source of this 309-nucleotide RNA transcript. It is a transcript of the gene named 40S ribosomal protein S27-like, with no coding region annotated. The transcript has a single exon. The record is from RefSeq and is a predicted model, not a curated record. NCBI's taxonomy places the organism in Eukaryota, Metazoa, Chordata, Mammalia, Primates, Tarsiidae.